CCUACUUCAUUUCGUUCAGACAGCUUGUGUUCUCUCUCACUCUCUCUCGUCCCUCUCACUUUCUCUUCUUAGUUGUAAAUGUUGGUUCUCAUCCUCUUGCCAUUUCUUUUUCCUUUAUUAUUCAUUAUUUUGUCAAUAUAUUGGGUUGUGAAACAUAAGUGAAUCAUAUGCUAAAUAUAUAGAUCACUACGUGGAACUCAAAUGCAAUGUUUUUUUUACUGUCAUUUUUCUUCUAUUCUUUGUUAUUUUAUGAAUAUAUUGAGUUGUGAAACAUAAGUGAAUCUUAUGCUAAAUAUAUAGAUCACUAUGUGGAACUCACAUGCUAAUUGUUUUUUUUGUUAGAUCUAAAUAGAUCUAUAAAUAUAUUGCUAUAUUUAUUUGUAGAUCUAAAUAGAUCUAUAAAUAUAUUGUAAAUAAACGUAGAUCUAAAUAGAUGUAUAUAAACUCUUGUAUUUUUUUUUCUUGUUUAAUGUUUUAAAUGAGAUGUGUGAUGAGGACUGAAAUAUGCACCAGCGCUGUGCUAAACAUAACGGGAAUAUUUCUAGUUAUGAUUAUUAUUAUUAUUAUUGUUAUUGUGAUUAUUUCUGAUAUUUGGUACAGGAUUGCCCUAACUCUCAGCUUGGCUCAGCUCGGCUCCGCCUUCCAGCUCUGAUGACUCAAUUUCAAGAUGUAGAUUAGAAUAACGGGAUUUGGGCUUGAUUCAUUGGGCUAAUGGGCUUUAGGGGUCUAGUGGGCCCAAGGGCCUUAGGUUUAUAUUCAUGCUUAUAAAUAGGGCCUUGAGGCAUAGAUUAGGGAGGAUAGUCAUUUUUUCUAGCCACAACUUGUAAACUGUAAAAUACUCUCUCAAUUAUAGUGGAAAACCCCCAAAACCCCGUGGACGUAGGUCUUCUCGACCGAACCAUGUAAAUCUGGUGUCGUUUAUUGCUUUCUAGUUUAGGUGUUGGUUUCUCGUUUCACCAACUGGCGCCGUCUGUGGGAAAAUCGAGCUAAGGCGUGAGAUUCAUUGUUUUACAAUCACUGUUCAUCGGGUUACUGUUCAUCGGAGUUAUUGUUCAUCGGAUUACUGUUCAUCUGGUUACUGUUCAUCGUAAAAAAAGAAAAAAAAAUGGGAAAAAUUAUUUGGCCGGCUGAUUUCUUUCCUAAGAUCCGGCGUCAAUGGAGGCUGAUGUUCUGGUUUCCAGAUCCCGGAACAGGGAUGCUCGAUUCUGCGAUCCCAGUUUUCAGAUCGGGAUAUGGGUUUAUGUUCUUUGAUCCAUCAGAUUUUCAAGCAACCAUAUGGCUUUCGGUCCUAUUCAUCUCCAACAGAAAGGAAAAGAGAAGGGGAAUUUUUGCAAAAAAUCAGAAGCUCGAUUCAUCACUCCCUCUGGAUUUAAAUCUCAUAGAACUCCACCGCCGAUCUUAGCUCCACCGUUGGUCGCAGGGUCUCCAUUUCUCAGGCAGCAUUUUGCACCCUGUCGCCGCCGUCGCUGCACGCAUCUCUAGCUUCCGGCCUUCAAGAGAGUCCGAUUGAAAAUCCAGUCGCAGCCCAACAAUCGCUGCCCCGACAAUAAUCGAAGCUCGCCGUUUUCCAUCACCAUCUCCAAUUCAGAUCCAAUUGAAGCUAAGUUAUCC
This 1611-nucleotide long non-coding RNA is filed under the name Salvia miltiorrhiza (redroot sage). Its description in RNAcentral is "long non-coding RNA (SMIL_LNC004594)". Lineage: Eukaryota; Viridiplantae; Streptophyta; Magnoliopsida; Lamiales; Lamiaceae. The record is from RNAcentral.